UAACACGUAUCCAACCUGCCGUCUACUCUUGGACAGCCUUCUGAAAGGAAGAUUAAUACAAGAUGGCAUCAUGAGUUCACAUGUUCACAUGAUUAAAGGUAUUCCGGUAGACGAUGGGGAUGCGUUCCAUUAGAUAGUAGGCGGGGUAACGGCCCACCUAGUCUUCGAUGGAUAGGGGUUCUGAGAGGAAGGUCCCCCACAUUGGAACUGAGACACGGUCCAAACUCUUACGGGAGGCAGCAGUGAGGAAUAUUGGUCAAUGGGCGAGAGCCUGAACCAGCCAAGUAGCGUGAAGGAUGACUGCCCUAUGGGUUGUAAACUUCUUUUAUAAAGGAAUAAAGUCGGGUAUGCAUACCCGUUUGCAUGUACUUUAUGAAUAAGGAUCGGCUAACUCCGUGCCAGCAGCCGCGGUAAUACGGAGGAUCCGAGCGUUAUCCGGAUUUAUUGGGUUUAAAGGGAGCGUAGAUGGAUGUUUAAGUCAGUUGUGAAAGUUUGCGGCUCAACCGUAAAAUUGCAGUUGAUACUGGAUAUCUUGAGUGCAGUUGAGGCAGGCGGAAUUCGUGGUGUAGCGGUGAAAUGCUUAGAUAUCACGAAGAACUCCGAUUGCGAAGGCAGCCUGCUAAGCUGCAACUGACAUUGAGGCUCGAAAGUGUGGGUAUCAAACAGGAUUGGAUACCCUGGUAGUCCACACGGUAAACGAUGAAUACUCGCUGU
This 714-nucleotide ribosomal RNA is filed under the name uncultured bacterium. RNAcentral's name for it is "bacterial SSU rRNA". It matches the Rfam family "Bacterial small subunit ribosomal RNA", at positions 111 to 823 of the family's 1533-position model. The record is from RNAcentral.